Molecule: small RNA, 856 nt
Filed under: Pongo abelii (Sumatran orangutan)
Lineage: Eukaryota; Metazoa; Chordata; Mammalia; Primates; Hominidae
Description: processed transcript
Source: RNAcentral
UGUUUUUCCAUUUCCCGGCCCCCUCUUCUUGAGUACUUUACCCCCUGCAUUUGGGGACAGGGACUGGAAAAGGGGCGGGUGGAGCGUCCAGUGGAGAAGGAAGCGAGGCCCGCAGGAGGAGGAGGAUCGGCGGACCGUGGGGAGGAGACCCCACGCCACCCUUUCUGGUCAUCUCCCCUCCCGCCCCGCCCCUGCGCACACUCCCUCGCGGGCGAGCUACUUUCGGACCAGGAAAGUAAGGGCGGCCCUGGGUGACAGCGCCGCGGGGCCAGUCCCGGGGUUAGCCGCGCGUCUGCUCGCUUCUGGUCCGUCGCGCUCACAGCCAGGGCACAGCUCGGACCGAGGAUGGCUUCGACCACAACCUGCACCAGGUUCACGGACGAGUAUCAGCUUUUCGAGGAGCUUGGAAAGGGGGCAUUCUCAGUGGUGAGAAGAUGUAUGAAAAUUCCUACUGGACAAGAAUAUGCUGCCAAAAUUAUCAACACCAAAAAGCUUUCUGCUAGGGGCAGUCAAGAAAGUACUGUAAUUUCUCAGCUUCAUGGUUACUUGUCUUGAAUUGGAAGUAGAACUGAGACUAUGUAGAUGGAUUAAGUUCUGAUUAUACAUUAUUGAUUUGGCAAAUUGGAACAAUUGGACAAAUUAAAAUUUGAAGGUUUCUUGGCAAGAACAACGUUUUAAGAAAAAAAUUAGUAAAUCAUUUUUAUAUUUGUACAUGGAAUCUCCACAACUCUUCAGUUAUGGACCCAGAAGUGGCAUGUGUCAUCCUUAUUAUUUUGUAUCCUUUACUUAUGUUUAGUUGUAUUUACAUUCUUCUAUAGGUCUUGAUAUUAAACAUUUAUUUUCUUCUUUCAUUGAA